CAGCGAGUUCAAAUGGCUCUCAAAUCUACUGAGACAGUUGAAUUAUUGCAAAAGUCUGUCUAGGCCUGUAGACAUGUGUUCUUUUGACUCCCCCUCCAUCCUACUGAAAAAUAAACUACUGUUCUUCAUGGCUUAUUUUGUCUCUGUCAAGGAAACUUUCUGCUCUCAUCUCAGGAGGAUUGUACAAUAGCAAUCUGAUCCUGACCUUUCUACCUCUUCCUUGAAUAACAGAUGAAAAUUGGACAGUGAGAAGUGGUGUGUGCUCCGUAACUUGUAUCCCAGGCACAAUCUAAUGACACUCUUCUCCUAGUAAAAACAGCAGUUGCAGCAAAGGUUAAGGUAAACAGGUUUAGCUAAUUACCUCUUAAUCAAAUCCAGUUAUAAUUUACUGCUCUCCUCUGAAGCUCUGUGCCUGCUAAACCAUGGGCUUUGGUUGGAUUAGCUUAUCUCUGAUAAAUGCAGUGUGAUUAAUUUCUCCCACAGUACAGCAGCACGUAAAUAUCAAGUGAGAAUAAUGUAUGACCAAAUAAACUCAGCUCACACACCAUCACAGCAGAACUCUCCAAGGCCCCCGUGUACCAGGCACUGAAAUAGAAUCCCUUUUUUUUAUUUUUUACAGAAGGUGAUGGUGGGGAAGAAAUCAUUUCUGUGUUACUCUUUUUUCCAGGGACAAGAAAGAAAACACCAUAAGUGAAACACACUGGUGCUUUCAGGAUUAAAAAAUCACUCUGCAUUCAAGUAAUGUGCACUUUUGUGUGAAAAUCCUUGCUACAGCUCUUCUGUUGUGUGCCUCAUGAAAAGAGAGCUCAAGUUCAAGGCUGUGUGGAAUUUUUCUCAAGCCAUUGGAGUUCCAACCAGUAAGUAAGGAUCCCAGCACACAGGCCAAAUUAAUUCCAUCAUCAUCAAAUGGAAACAAAGUGCCUGAGACAAAGUGACUGAGAGGUCAAGGAAAUCUGCAGCUGAGACUCAAACCGGGGCUGGUUGGGAAUUCAGCACGUUAAAGGUGAACGAGGGGGCAUUUUUGGAGCUUGGGGUACACUCCAGUGAUUGCACACAAUCUUUCAUGCUUCUUGUGGCUUUAUCUCAGACUUACUGUUGACUGAUGCACGAGAUGAAACAACGAGGGUUGUUCUGGUAUGUGAGUUUCCUUCUUUGAAUUAAUUCUGUGCUGCUGAUGCAAUCGCUGUAUGAAGCGACUCCUUAGAAAACAUUUUUAAAUUCUACACCAGUGCAGGAAAGCUUUAGUGUGUCUGACAGCUCUGGAACUGCCCGGUCAGAAGACAGGUCAGGGUUCAACCUAUUAAACUUUUGGUAGCUGCGAGAUGCGACAUGAGCUGAAUUGCCCAUCCACCAACACAAACCUGAUUGCUGCUCCCAUUUCCUGGUGCAGCAAAGGACAAAGCAUGAAAGAAAUUAAUGCACACAUUUUAUCCCCUGCAGGGCUGACAUCUUUCUGGCUGACUGAUAAAAACCCCUCAGAUGAUCAGAUAGGGGAACUUUCUCAGCUACAUGGUUGGUUUGCCUCAGAGCAGCACUGUUCUUUUAGAGUCACUUCCAGUCAAUGGCAGGUCUGGGAAAACAGGCAAAAAGCCCAUAAGCUAGCUUUUGGGUGAAAACAGCUGUGUGUUUUCAGUGCAAUUGUAAUCUGGCACCUUGAAAUUGUGACCCUUUAAAUUUGGUGUCAUGUGAACCCUGAUCACUCAUCCCUUGGGGGAGAGGAAGCCUAUCUGAGAGGCUCUCACACUUCCAAACUGCCCCUCUCUUCGUGGCUUCAAGCCACAUAAAAGUAAUAACCUUUCCAUAAGAUAUUGCUCAGUGGCUCUUGGAAAUGUUGUGGAAUAGGACUUACUCAGCAGAUUUGAAUAAAACCCAGUCUCUUGUUUUUACAGUGUCUGCGGAUUAAAGUGUGAAAUGUAACCGUUCUGACAAAAGUCUGUGCCUUUCCAUAGCCCUGUUCCGUAUCAAACCUGCAGCAUUUUGGGUGCCUGUUGUGGGAUGCCAUCUGGCUCUGUUCUGCCUUAACUGGGCACUGGGUUGUGAACCUUGUUCAUGUUUCCAAAAACCACCCAACACAGCCUUGCUACCCCUGAGCAUUCUCCUCUGGCCUCUUUUCUUGCAUCCUUGCUCCUAUUUCUUUUAGCUCCUCUUUGCACACCCUCACACAGCAGUGGCCUCAUAAUUUAGUCAGUCUUACCUCAGCCAAAAUCUUCUUUCAGAGCUUUGCCUCUUGGCCCAGACUCCCCCUCCACACAAGGCGUAGAGGAAAUUCUGUGAUUUAACCUGUCACCAUCUAGAUGUAGAGUUAAUUAUCCUGGAAGGCUCCAAGACACUUCAACUUUUUGUUGUGUUAUUAGGCACUCAUGUGUCUGGAAUAAUCACCUUAGAUAUCCUCCAUACUUAAGGAAGGCAAAAAAAGGUGAUUUACGGUUUUGCUUCAUCUCAUGACUGAAGUUAGGGAGAUAAAUUCCUCUCUGGUGUUCCCAGGGGACAGUGGGACUGCAGGAGGACACGGAUCUGAGGUGAACUGUGGCAUCUGGUUAUCCUUGGAGUCCCCAGUCUGCUGGGAAAUCCCAUCCUGGAGCAACUGGUUUUAAAGUCAGGAGCCUCCCAUAAAAUUCUGAUAGAUUUUAGGAGGAACCUUGGCAAAUAGAAACUGUUUUUUUUUCAAAAUGGUUCCUCUGUGGGACAAUUAACUCUGUUGAGCUAUGAUAAGUCUUUUUAAAACAGAUAAUUCUUAGCAGAUGUUAAGAGAGUACGUGUUGCAUGUUAUUUGCAUUUAAUUGUUGAAUCCUACUGAGCUAAGUUAAUUUUAUCUUUGCCCUUAUCCUUAAUGCACAGAAAUAAAUACUUCCUUUCCACAUGGCCUGUUUAGUUUUACCUGGGCAGUUUUCAAACCUAGGUCAUAAAGUUUGGAAAAAUUGCCGGCUGACCAUGAAACAGAUGAAUUUGGAGGCAUUGAUAAACAUAACCUGGACUGGGAGGGUUCCAUCAGCUGGAAGUUUGAGUGCUCAAUUCCAGUGACACCAGCUCUGAGAACCUUUCACUUUGGAAAGAGAGUGGGAUUCUUCUUCUGUCAUCUCUGGAGAAAAAACACAGAUUAAAAUGUAUUUUUUUGUGCCUUUCUCUGCCAUUGUUCCUGUGGGGGAAUGGUCUAUAUGUUUAUGGGACAUAAACAUACAGACCAUUCUACACCCAUGGGCUUGUUGGUCUCAAGGUUGCUCAAGGCCAUGAGGAAAGGAUGAUGCUCUGACUCUUCUCAUCCUGAGCUCAUCCAGCAGUUUUUCCUCAUUGUGGAGCUCCUCCUCUGCUCCAUGAGGGCCCCAGGUACAGCUCCAUAGGUCCUGGUAGGAGUGAGCUGCUGAAAAGCUGAACCUAAAUCCCCUUUGUGAAUCCAGCCCCUUUGUAGAUGCCAGCUGUGCUUGGAAAUUUGGCCAAGGAUUUUAAAAUCACUUUGUAGAUCCAGCCCUCAGGCACCUUUGACAAUCCCUCCAUAGGAAAUGAGGUUUUUUUCGCCAUAAGUGUGAAACAGGGUAUAGCUCUGACUGGUUUUAGUGCAGCUAAGAUCAUGUAGCACUUUUUAUAGACUGCCAAAGGGUCUAAAUAUGGUCAGUAAACCAGAAGGUGUUUUAAGGGGAGUAGACAGAAAGGGGUUUGGUCUGCAUGGGCUCAUUGACAUCUGUAUUUAAGGCAUGGGGGGGUUCAGUGAUGCCUUUGGGGGAGAAUGCAGCUACUUGCACUUUAUUUCAAUCCUGCAAUUUCAGUGCCAAGCCACUGGACUUGAGGAGAGAUAAUUCUUUUCCUUUUCCUUGCCUCUGAAUGCACAGGCAAGCAAAUAAUGAGGCAUUGUACGCCAGCCCACUGUACAGAAAACCAAUUCACAGAAGAGCCUGGCCUUUCAAUGAUUACUUUUACUUCCAAUUCAUUAUUUUAAGCAAGCUAGGUUUUCAGCACUCAGCUUCCCCUAGGAGAAAAACAAACCAACACUUUCAUACGUCAAGGUGUGUACAAGGAUUUUGAAGCAAAACUGACUGUGGACCAUUGACGACCCAAGCUGAAACACCCAAAACUCUGCAGAUGAAUGGAUGCAUGCUUUGCUGUAGUGAAGGGCUCUUACAAGCAGGCUGCUGUCGUCUACCUCUUGGAGCCUGAGGUCUCGUGGAGACAACAAUCGCUUUUGUUUUGCCAAGGAAAAAUAUGUAAUAGUAUAUUUGUUUUAACAAAGAAAGGUAUCCUGUGAAGUGGGCUCCUGGGGACCUGAAUUUUUACCAUACGGGCUCCAGGCUGCAACUGUAAGAAAGUUUGGGAUGGCUUGUGGUCUACAGGCUCACUGACAAAUGUGUGAUUUAAUGUGGAGAAACACCAGCACAAUGACCCUUUCACAGACCUCUUUAAAACAUUAUUGUUUCCUGUCUUCCAGCAGUCACUUCUGGAAACUCAAACGUAACGCUGAACCCUUCACUGGUUUUAAUGUCACCUUCACAUAACUGCUCCCCUUUGGAAAGAGAUGCACAGGUGUUAAUCCACUUAUGCUUUUCAUCUGUACCAAAGGGGGCUAGGAGAAAAUGCUCUCUGUGUUUCGCAUCCACCAGCUUCCCUUGCCUCGUGUUACAAGAAGGCUUUGUGAGUACAUCCAAAGAGUUUUUCCUUUGCAAGCCCCUGGAAUCUUCAGAGGAAUUGCUUCCCGAGUUUUGUUCUGUGCAGCAAAAGCUGUACCAAAACCAUCCUUGCUUUGAAGUUGGCUGGAAGAGGGUUUUGGAUGCUGGAGCUAAGGACAUGGCAAAAUUUCUUCCUGUAUCCACAAAAAAAAUCUUUUUUUGUGAGACUCAGCUGCAUCCCACUUGCAACCUCUUGUUGCUCAGCUCCUUAGAUGACACAGCCACUAAAAAUCUCCUUUUACCACCAACUUAUACCACAGUUUACUUACUACCCUUGAGGUUUUUAACUCAAAUUUUGACUUCAACACGUGGGUGCAUUGAAACCCUAGCACUGUAUGUUGUGUGUUUUCUUGUCACCUUUUUAUGCUGCCUGAAAGGGGUUUAGUUGCUUAAGGGACACAUGGUUAGGUUAAGGGUUGGACUUGGUGAUCUUAAAGGUAUUUUCCUACAUGAUUCUCUGAUUUCAUUGUGUGAAUAUGAAAAUGUGAAGUUGUUGAAGCAAAUAAGCCUUGUCCAGAGGGAACAAACUAAUAAAAUAGAUAUUUUUUUUUUUCCCUGA
Molecule: non-coding RNA, 5214 nt
Organism: Taeniopygia guttata (zebra finch)
Lineage: Eukaryota; Metazoa; Chordata; Aves; Passeriformes; Estrildidae
Source: RefSeq, a predicted model, not a curated record